UUAAGUGACUAAGCGUACAUGGUGGAUGCCUUGGCAGUCAGAGGCGAUGAAGGACGUACUAACCUGCGAUAAGCUGUGAGAAGUCGGUAAGAGACGCUAUUACUCACAGAUUUCCGAAUGGGGAAACCCACCCGAGAUAACUCGGGUAUCUGUUACUGAAUACAUAGGUAACAGAGGCGAACCGGGAGAACUGAAACAUCUAAGUACCCCGAGGAAAAGAAAUCAACCGAGAUUCCCUCAGUAGCGGCGAGCGAACGGGGAUUAGCCCUUAAGCAUCUUGGAAGUUAGUGGAACGGUCCUGGAAAGGCCGGCGAUACAGGGUGAUAGCCCCGUACACGAAAACAACCUUGAUGUGAAAUCGAGUAGGGCGGGACACGUGACAUCCUGUCUGAAUAUGGGGGGACCAUCCUCCAAGGCUAAAUACUCCUGACUGACCGAUAGUGAACCAGUACCGUGAGGGAAAGGCGAAAAGAACCCCUGUGAGGGGAGUGAAAUAGAACCUGAAACCGUGUACGUACAAGCAGUGGGAGCCCUUCGGGGUGACUGCGUACCUUUUGUAUAAUGGGUCAGCGACUUACAUUUUGUAGCGAGGUUAACCGUAUAGGGGAGCCGUAGGGAAACCGAGUCUUAACUGGGCGUCUAGUUGCAAGGUGUAGACCCGAAACCGGGUGAUCUAGCCAUGGGCAGGUUGAAGGUUGAGUAACAUCAACUGGAGGACCGAACCCACUAACGUUGCAAAGUUAGGGGAUGACCUGUGGCUGGGGGUGAAAGGCCAAUCAAACUCGGAGAUAGCUGGUUCUCCCCGAAAGCUAUUUAGGUAGCGCCUCGCGAAUACUACUCCGGGGGUAGAGCACUGUUUGGGCUAGGGGGUCAUCCCGACUUACCAACCCCAUGCAAACUCCGAAUACCAGUAAGUAAUAUCCGGGAGACACACGGCGGGUGCUAACGUCCGUCGUGAAGAGGGAAACAACCCAGACCGCCGGCUAAGGUCCCAAAGUUCUGGUUAAGUGGGAAACGAUGUGGGAAGGCUCAGACAGCUAGGAUGUUGGCUUAGAAGCAGCCAUCAUUUAAAGAAAGCGUAAUAGCUCACUAGUCGAGUCGGCCUGCGCGGAAGAUGUAACGGGGCUCAAACCAGGCACCGAAGCCGCGGAUUCACACUUAUGUGUGAGUGGUAGGGGAGCGUUCUGUAAGUCUGCGAAGGUGUAUCGAGAGGUAUGCUGGAGAUAUCAGAAGUGCGAAUGCUGACGUAAGUAACGAUAAAGGGGGUGAAAAGCCUCCUCGCCGGAAGACCAAGGGUUCCUGUCCAACGUUAAUCGGGGCAGGGUGAGUCGACCCCUAAGGCGAGGCCGAAAGGCGUAGUCGAUGGGAAGCAGGUUAAUAUUCCUGCACGACUUGUAAUUGCGAUGGGGGGACGGAGAAGGCUAGGUGGGCCAGGCGACGGUUGUCCUGGUGAAAGUGCGUAGGUGGUGUUUGUAGGCAAAUCCGCAGACACAACGCUGAGACACGAUGACGACACACUACGGUGUGGAAGCCAUUGAUGCCCUGCUUCCAGGAAAAGCCUCUAAGCUUCAGAUUACAAGUCAAAUCGUACCCCAAACCGACACAGGUGGUCGGGUAGAGAAUACCAAGGCGCUUGAGAGAACUCGGGUGAAGGAACUAGGCAAAAUAGAACCGUAACUUCGGGAGAAGGUUCGCUCCUGACAGUGAAGUCCCUUGCGGAUGGAGCAGUUGGGAGUCGCAGUGACCAGAUGGCUGGGACUGUUUAUCAAAAACACAGCACUCUGCAAACACGAAAGUGGACGUAUAGGGUGUGACACCUGCCCGGUGCCGGAAGGUUAAUUGAUGGGGUUAGCGCAAGCGAAGCUCUUGAUCGAAGCCCCGGUAAACGGCGGCCGUAACUAUAACGGUCCUAAGGUAGCGAAAUUCCUUGUCGGGUAAGUUCCGACCUGCACGAAUGGUGUAACCAUGGCCAUGCUGUCUCCACCCGAGACUCAGUGAAAUCGAAUUCGCCGUGAAGAUGCGGUGUACCCGCGGCUAGACGGAAAGACCCCGUGAACCUUUACUACAGCUUGGCACUGAACAUUGAACCUACAUGUGUAGGAUAGGUGGGAGGCUUUGAAGUGCGGACGCCAGUCUGCCUGGAGCCGUCCUUGAAAUACCACCCUUGUAUGUUUGAUGUUCUAACGAGGGCCCUGAAUCGGGCUCGCGGACAGUGCCUGGUGGGUAGUUUGACUGGGGCGGUCUCCUCCCAAAGAGUAA
Molecule: ribosomal RNA, 2259 nt
Filed under: human gut metagenome
Description: bacterial LSU rRNA
Rfam family: Bacterial large subunit ribosomal RNA
Source: RNAcentral